This 443-nucleotide ribosomal RNA is filed under the name uncultured bacterium. RNAcentral describes it as "partial 16S ribosomal RNA". It matches the Rfam family "Bacterial small subunit ribosomal RNA", at positions 338 to 795 of the family's 1533-position model. The record is from RNAcentral.
CCUACGGGAGGCUGCAGUGGGGAAUAUUGGACAAUGGGGGGAACGCUGAUCCAGCGACGCCGCGUGAGUGAAGAAGUAUAUAGGUAUGGAAAGCUCUAUCAGCAAGGAAGCAAGAAAUGACGGUACCUGACUAAGAAGCUCCGGCUAACUACGUGCCAGCAGCCGCGGUAAUGCGUAGGGGGCAAGCGUUAUCCGGAUUCACUGGGUGUAAAUGGAGCGUAGACGGCGAUGCAAGUCUGAAGUGAAAGGCUGGGGCCCAACCCCCUGACUGCUUUGGAAACGGUAUGGCUGGAGUGCAGGAGAGGUAAGUGGAAUGCCUAGUGUAGCGGUGAAAUGCGUAGAUAUUAGGAGGAACACCAGUGGCGAAGGCGGCUUACUGGACUGUAUCUGACGUUGAGGCACGAAAGCGUGGGGAGCGAACAGGAUUAGAUACCCCAGUAGUC